GGAUAUUCGGGCCUCGAUCUGGACCUUGAUGGCUGGGUCGGAAAGUGCUAAUCUUAUGGAGAUAUCUCAGCUACGGCUAUGAUCUGCAAAGAAAUGAUCGAUAAAAUAUCGAUCAUAGAGAGAUAUCUUGACCUAAGUUAGGAUCUUCAUAAAAUUCCUCAUCAAAAUCAUUCUGACCAUUAGAUUGCAUAUUGCAUAGUUUUCAAAGUGCGAUGUUUGCUUCAUGACUUGUAUUAAUAGAUG
Molecule: long non-coding RNA, 243 nt
Filed under: Elaeis guineensis (African oil palm)
Lineage: Eukaryota; Viridiplantae; Streptophyta; Magnoliopsida; Arecales; Arecaceae
Description: long non-coding RNA (EGUI_LNC027580)
Source: RNAcentral